Molecule: unclassified non-coding RNA, 354 nt
Filed under: Bombus terrestris (buff-tailed bumblebee)
Lineage: Eukaryota; Metazoa; Arthropoda; Insecta; Hymenoptera; Apidae
Description: misc RNA ENSBTSG00005029000.1
Source: RNAcentral
UACAAGUCAGCGAAUAUCGUCGAUAGCUAUGAUUUCUAUUAAACGAUAAAGGCGCAGUUGGCAAAGGUAUUGCGGCGGAACUGUUUCGAACGCCGUAAACCGUACGUAUUUAAAUUCAUAGUCGUGACUAUAACCGUGACUCGUGGAAAAUUACGUUACUUUCUUUACGGUUGUUCCUGCCGCGUGACCGGCGGAAGAAAUGCGCAGCCACUUGAAAAUUCUUACAUCAAACGCGCGCACGCUCGUUCUCCAUCUUCCCCUCUACGCGAGACGUUUCUCACAAUCGCAUUCGCGAAAAAGCUAUUCCCAAAACGAACCCCUGCCAAACGUUAAACACCCAAAGCAACCCCCUGC